GACCCAGGAACAGCGGGGCUGACGAGGAGAGAAUGACUGGGGAUGUAAAUGCUCAUCAGAGAGGAAGCCAGUCCCACAGGUCACAAUACACUGAGGGGACUCGCUCCCCUUGAACACAGUGGGAGCAGAAGGACCGAGCACCUUGUAGGAUCAGACCUUAGGCUAGAGGUCAAACCUAAAUUAUGGCUCAGAGUGAGGGAGCGCUGAGGAACUUCCAAACUAAAUGUCUGUAUCCGCAUCUUUGAAAAGUCAUGGAAGAUGGGAGAGAUUCCCAAAGACUGGAAUAGAGCCCGGCUAUAAAGGGAAAUAAGAACAACCCAGGAAACUACAGACCAGUCAGCUUAACUUCUGUGCCAGGAAAGAUAAUGGAGCAAAUAAUUAAGGAAUCCAUCUGCAAACAUCUGGAAGAGAAUAAGAUGUUAAUUAACAGCCAGAAUGAAUUUGUAAAGAACAAAUCAUGUCAAAUCAACUUGGUACCUUUCUUUCAUAAGAUAACAAGCCUGGUGGAUAAGGGGGAAGUGGUGGACAUGGUAUACCUCGACUCUAAUAAAGCAUUUGACACAGUCUCACAUGACCUUCUUAUCAACAAACAAGGUAAAUAUAAUG
Molecule: non-coding RNA, 606 nt
Organism: Pelodiscus sinensis (Chinese soft-shelled turtle)
Lineage: Eukaryota; Metazoa; Chordata; Testudines; Trionychidae
Source: RefSeq, a predicted model, not a curated record